Molecule: transfer RNA, 85 nt
Filed under: Candidatus Moraniibacteriota bacterium
Lineage: Bacteria; Candidatus Moraniibacteriota
Description: tRNA-Leu
Rfam family: tRNA
About the family: Transfer RNA (tRNA) molecules are approximately 80 nucleotides in length. Their secondary structure includes four short double-helical elements and three loops (D, anti-codon, and T loops). Further hydrogen bonds mediate the characteristic L-shaped molecular structure. tRNAs have two regions of fundamental functional importance: the anti-codon, which is responsible for specific mRNA codon recognition, and the 3' end, to which the tRNAs corresponding amino acid is attached (by aminoacyl-tRNA synthetases). tRNAs cope with the degeneracy of the genetic code in two manners: having more than one tRNA (with a specific anti-codon) for a particular amino acid; and 'wobble' base-pairing, i.e. permitting non-standard base-pairing at the 3rd anti-codon position.
Source: RNAcentral
ACGUGCAUAACUCAGUUGGUAGAGUGCCCGACCUAAGUAUGGGCCCAUCGGGAAGUCCCGAGUUCGAAUCUCGGUGCACGCGCCA